CUUAUUUUAAUUUUUAUUAUUAUUAAUGUUUUUGAUUUUCAAAACACACGCCUAAUUUCCAACAUUCAUCCUUGCAAAAUCUUGUGUUCCAUCUUUUUCUCCCCUCUUUCCCCUACCCCCUUCCCUAGAUGGCAAGUAAUCCAUUAUAGGUUAAACAUGUGCAAUUCUUCUAAACAUAUUUCCACAAAUAUCAUGCUGUACAAGAACAAUCAGAUCAAAAAAGGAAAAAAAUGAGAAUGAAAACAAAAUGCAAGCAAACAACAAAAAAAGUGCAAAUACUAUGUUUUGAUCCACACUCAGUCCCCACAGUUCUCUCUCUGGAUACAGAUGGUUCUCUCCAUCACAAGACCAUUGGAACUGGCCUGAAUCAUCUCAAUGUUGAAAAGAGUCACAUGCGUCAGAAUUGAUCAUAUAAUCUUAUUCCCAUGUAUAGUGAUUUCCUGGUUCUACUCACUUCACUUAGCACCACUUCAUGUAAGUCUCUCCAGGUCUCUCUGAGACCAUUCUGCUGUUCGUUUCUUACAGAAUAAUAAUGGAAUAUAUGCUUCUUGAGAGUAUUGUUUUUUCUUUCUUUGUGUCCCCAGGACUUACACAGAGUACUUGCAUAUAGUAAAUGUUUAAAUGAUUUCUGACUUUUGUCACUUUAGUGAAAUAGCUUAACCUUCCUGAUCUUCAGUUUUCUUGAUUAUUUCAAUGUUAGACUGGUUGUCAUCCGAGGAAAGGUCCAAGAUUUAUUCUGCACAGUGAAUUGCCAAGCUCCAAAAGCUCCAGACACUCCUUACCCCCUGGCUCAAACAGCGCUACUUCUGACUGGGGAAGAGGAUUCCAAAGCGGUAUGAACACAGAAUAGGCUUAAGAAUAUGAACCAACAAAAGAUAAUUAAGCUUCAGGGGUGAAGAAGAGAAUACUCUGGAUAAGCCUUUACUCUAAAAUAAUUCUAUUACUUUCAAGUAUCACACAUUUCCAGGGGAAGGUAAUCAAUACAUCACUCUUUAUCUAACCCUUUUCUUCGUUUUUCUUGGCUCUUUCUAGUGAGGGUCCUGAAGAGGAAAUCGGAACGAAAUAAAUCAAGAAAUAACAAACUAUGCUUUUAGGAUUAAUCUUUUACACUUCUCUUUCAUGCUUCUCCGAGGGCUGAGUUGGAUAGAGGAACGUAAGGAUUUCAAGAGAUGUAGGUUUAAAUAUGGACAAUUAUCAGACGGAGGAAGGCAGAGGAUUUCCAGCCUGAGCUCAGCAUACGCUUCAAACGCAGUAGAAAACCUAGCAAACGCUUUUGGACUUGACUUGGAUCCAAAUACCCGGGUAAGUGAUUUAACCUCCCCAGGCCUUGAUAUCUUCAGUUACAAAAUUAAGAGGGAAUGGACGAGAUGCUUUUUGAGGCCCUUCAGGCGCUAAAUCCCCGGAUCACGCCCCUUUGUGGCGCUGCAAGUCCUGCGGGCGGUGGGACCCAUUAAAUUUACAGGCCUGGAUCCGAGCCCAGUUUGUGGGAGAAGAAAAACAGGGGGCGUCGGUGUGGAAGAAACCCUAGACUCAGCAGGUGCCAGAAGGUGAAACAGCGAAAGGAGACAAGGACCAAGAAACUUGUCCCGUAAACGUCACGGCUUUGUUCCUCUCCCUCUCCUCCGUCUUCCCCCUUUUCUUUGGUAAGAAAAAAAGGGGAGCUGCUGUUUAGGUUGCAUGUGGUAGCAAACCUCUCCCGACUACGGGCCUCAUUGUUUUGCUUGGCGCGUCUUUGGGGUCCUUGUUCUGGUAAAGGUGACAAUGAUGGAAUCUGCGCUGCGGCCAUCUCCCCCCGCCUGGGCACGAGCUGGUAGGGAGACUGGUUUACAUCGCCCGGGUCGGAGGCGCAGUUACGGAGGAGGGGAGGGAUCAGAUCCGAUCUGGGGGUCAGUGAAGAGGCGGCUUUCGCUCCCAUAGUCACACCGGCCGCCGCAAGGUAGAGCGCAGAGCAAGCGAGUGACACUCGGCUACGGCGAGCUCCGGGUACCAGCCAUGCCGGCGGCUGCCUCGCAG
Molecule: long non-coding RNA, 2013 nt
Filed under: Sarcophilus harrisii (Tasmanian devil)
Lineage: Eukaryota; Metazoa; Chordata; Mammalia; Dasyuromorphia; Dasyuridae
Description: lncRNA (ENSSHAG00000030017.1)
Source: RNAcentral